UCCGGUUUGGCACCGGCAGUCUCCCCAGAGUUCCCGGCUUUACCCGCUGGCAACUGAGGACAAGGGUUGCGCUCGUUGCGCCACUUAAGGCAACACCUCACGGCACGAGCUGACGACAGCCAUGCACCACCUGUGCAGGCUCCGUAGAGCUCCGGCUUUCACCGGCUUCACCCUGCAUGUCAAGCCCAGGUAAGGUUCUUCGCGUCGCAUCGAAUUAAACCACAUGCUCCACCGCUUGUGUGGAUCCCCGUCAAUUCCUUUGAGUUUUAGCCUUGCGGCCGUACUUCCCAGGCGGGUCACUUAACGCGUUAGCUUAGGCACAAGGGGCUUCAAUCCCCCCCACAGCAAGUAUCCAUCGUUUAGGGCUAGGACUAC
This 375-nucleotide unclassified non-coding RNA is filed under the name uncultured bacterium. Its description in RNAcentral is "contains 16S-23S intergenic spacer region". The record is from RNAcentral.